Molecule: ribosomal RNA, 400 nt
Filed under: uncultured bacterium
Lineage: Bacteria
Description: bacterial SSU rRNA
Rfam family: Bacterial small subunit ribosomal RNA
Source: RNAcentral
UGAGGAAUAUUGGUCAAUGGGCGCAAGCCUGAACCAGCCAUCCCGCGUGCAGGAAGACGGCCCUAUGGGUUGUAAACUGCUUUUCCAGGGGGAGAAUUUUUCUGUCGUGACAGGAAUUGACGGUACCCUGGGAAUAAGCAUCGGCUAACUCCGUGCCAGCAGCCGCGGUAAUACGGAGGAUGCGAGCGUUAUCCGGAUUUAUUGGGUUUAAAGGGUGCGUAGGCGGAUUGAUAAGUCAGUGGUGAAAACCUGCAGCUUAACUGUAGACUUGCCGUUGAUACUGUCAGUCUUGAGUGUGGUCAAGGUAGCGGAAUGUGUAAUGUAGCGGUGAAAUGCUUAGAUAUUACACAGAACACCGAUUGCGAAGGCAGCUUACUGGGCCAUUACUGACGCUGAUGCA